RNAcentral lists this ribosomal RNA (903 nucleotides) under uncultured bacterium. RNAcentral describes it as "bacterial SSU rRNA". It matches the Rfam family "Bacterial small subunit ribosomal RNA", at positions 28 to 896 of the family's 1533-position model. The record is from RNAcentral.
AGUGAACGCUGGCGGCGUGGAUUAGGCAUGCAAGUCGAGCGAUCUUAUUACAAGCAACCCGCAAGGGGAGUGAGUAGUAGGAUAGCGGCAAACGGGUGAGUAACACGUGAGCAACUUUCCCUUAAGACGGGUAUAGCACCGUGAAAACGGUGGUAAUUCCCGAUAACAUCAAGGUUCUGCAUGGUAUCUUGAUUAAAGGUGGGGACCUUCGGGCCUGCCACUUAAGGAUGGGCUCGCGUCCUAUCAGCUAGUUGGUGAGGUAACGGCCCACCAAGGCGUUUGACGGGUAGCUGGUCUGAGAGGAUGGACAGCCACACUGGGACUGAGACACUGCCCAGACUCCUACGGGAGGCUGCAGUCGAGAAUCUUCUUCAAUGGACGAAAGUCUGAAAGAGCGACGCCGCGUGCGGGAUGAAGGCUUUCGGGUCUUAAACUGCUUUUGUUAGGAAAGAAUACUACGUAUCUAAUAAAUACGUAGUUGACGGUACCUAAAGAAUAAGCCACGGCCAACUCCGUGCCAGCAGCCGCGGUAAUACGGAGGUGGCAAGCGUUACUCGGAAUUAUUGGGUGUAAAGGGCAAGUAGGCGGCCUAUUAAGCGAGGGGUGAAAUCCUGCGGCUCAAUCGCAGAAUUGCCUUUCGAACUGGUAGGCUUGAGGCCGAUAGGGGGAAACGGAAUUAGCAGUGUAAGGGUGAAAUCUGUAGAUAUUGCUAAGAACACCAGCAGCGAAGGCGGUUUCCUGGAUCGGAUCUGACGCUAAAUUGCGAAAGCUAGGGGAACAAACAGGAUUAGAUACCCUGGUAGUCCUAGCCGUAAACUAUGAGCACUAGGUGUUGGGCCUUCGGGCUCAGUGCCGCAGCUAACGCAUUAAGUGCUCCACCUGGGGACUACGGUCGCAAGGCUA